GCAACUCGACCCCAUGAAGUCGGAGUUGCUAGUAAUCGCAGAUCAGCAUUGCUGCGGUGAAUACGUUCCCGGGCCUUGUACACACCGCCCGUCACGUCACGAAAGUCGGUAACACCCGAAGCCGGUGGCCCAACCCCUUGUGGGAGGGAGCUGUCGAAGGUGGGACUGGCGAUUGGGACGAAGUCGUAACAAGGUAGCCGUACCGGAAGGUGCGGUUGGAUCACC
Molecule: ribosomal RNA, 225 nt
Filed under: Streptomyces griseus
Lineage: Bacteria; Bacillati; Actinomycetota; Actinomycetes; Kitasatosporales; Streptomycetaceae
Description: partial 16S ribosomal RNA
Rfam family: Bacterial small subunit ribosomal RNA
Source: RNAcentral